Molecule: ribosomal RNA, 686 nt
Filed under: Paraphysomonas imperforata
Lineage: Eukaryota; Chrysophyceae; Chromulinales; Paraphysomonadaceae
Description: partial Bacterial large subunit ribosomal RNA
Rfam family: Bacterial large subunit ribosomal RNA
Source: RNAcentral
AUUCCUUGUCGGGUAAGUUCCGACCUGCACGAAUGGUGUAACCAUGGCCACGCUGUCUCCACCCGAGACUCAGUGAAAUUGAAAUCGCAGUGAAGAUGCUGUGUACCCGCACCUAGACGGAAAGACCCCGUGAACCUUUACUACAGCUUGGCACUGAACAUUGAACCUACAUGUGUAGGAUAGGUGGGAGGCUUUGAAGCACAGUCGCUAGAUUGUGUGGAGCCGUCCUUGAAAUACCACCCUUGUAUGUUUGAUGUUCUAACAUUGGUCCCUUAUCGGGAUUGUGGACAGUGUCUGGUGGGUAGUUUGACUGGGGCGGUCUCCUCCCAAAUAGUAACGGAGGAGCACGAAGGUUAGCUAAUCACGGUCGGACAUCGUGAGGUUAGUGCAAUGGCAUAAGCUAGCUUAACUGCGAGACAGACACGUCGAGCAGGUACGAAAGUAGGUCAUAGUGAUCCGGUGGUUCUGUAUGGAAGGGCCAUCGCUCAACGGAUAAAAGGUACUCCGGGGAUAACAGGCUGAUACCGCCCAAGAGUUCAUAUCGACGGCGGUGUUUGGCACCUCGAUGUCGGCUCAUCUCAUCCUGGGGCUGGAGCAGGUCCCAAGGGUUUGGCUGUUCGCCAAUUAAAGCGGUACGUGAGCUGGGUUUAGAACGUCGUGAGACAGUUCGGUCCCUAUCUACUGUA